AGCCCAAGAAAAUCCAACAUGAGAGUGAAGGGGUCUGUGUUUACUCAUUCUCACAAUCUCAUUUCAACUUGGGGCAACCGUUAGGUCAUGAUUGAAAGGUCAUGAUUACAUGAUGAUUGAAGGAUUUUAUAGAGUGGUGAGCUUGUAACAGAAUCGGGCAGCUUGGGGCAACCGUUAGGGCAAGCUAAGUUGAUGUUAAUUUCUCUGGUGUAAGUUGGGACUUGUUGAGCUUCAUCAUGAGGCAAGCUUUGGAACACGGUUUGCUGCAUCUUGAGGAACCACCGGUUUCAUGAGCUAGACUUUGAAUGCCUGAAAUUGAAUUGAUGGUGUUUGUACAUGGUUCACGGAAGUUUGAUAUGGUGCCCUGGUAGUAUGCAGAACUGAUUUAACUUGAUCUUCAUCAUGCAAUUUAAAGGGUUUCCAUUGCUUGCUAUCAGCUGAGUUUAAUUGCAAUAUAAAUAACUCAUUCUUUCUUUUGUCAUUUCACAUGGAUUGGUGGCUUGUGAUAAUGUGAUCAAACAAUACAAGCUGGUAUAGUUGGAAUUGGAAAUUGGAGUUGUGAUAUCAGUGGCUUUCUUACCUAUGAAGUUACUCAAAGAAAAAUGAAGGUGCAUUGGACUUGAAGUGUGGAGAAUCAAGAACAAGUCAGAUUUUGGGUCAAAGGGGUCAAUGGUCAAUUGUGUUGACCAAAAGUCAACUAUAACAUUUUUUGUACUUUUCUUCAUGUAAACUCGACAGUAACUUUGUGACAAAAUGCUUGUAAUAUUCUUUUGUUAAUGAAACUCUUUUUCCUUCCAAAAUCAA
This is a long non-coding RNA of Lathyrus oleraceus (garden pea), 804 nucleotides long. RefSeq lists it as uncharacterized. The record is from RefSeq and is a predicted model, not a curated record. Lineage: Eukaryota; Viridiplantae; Streptophyta; Magnoliopsida; Fabales; Fabaceae. The transcript is spliced from 3 exons.